Molecule: ribosomal RNA, 342 nt
Filed under: Mantidactylus mocquardi
Lineage: Eukaryota; Metazoa; Chordata; Amphibia; Anura; Mantellidae
Description: partial 16S ribosomal RNA
Rfam family: Bacterial large subunit ribosomal RNA
Source: RNAcentral
GGGUUCUACUGUCUCCUUUUUUUAAUCAGUGAAACUAAUCUCCCCGUGAAGAAGCGGGGAUAUUCUUAUAAGACGAGAAGACCCCAUGGAGCUUUAAACCCAACUAUAUACCUAACUAUUAUAACCACUUAAUCCCUUAGCACUAAUAUACUUGGUUUUAGGUUGGGGCGACCACGGAGUAUAACUAAACCUCCACAAUGAACGAAACAACCCUUCUUAUCUGAGAAUUACACCUCUAAGAAUUAGCACACUAACAUAAAAUGACCCAUUAUUGAUCAACGAACCAAGUUACCCUGGGGAUAACAGCGCAAUCCAUUUUAAGAGCCCCUAUCGACAAAUGGG